RNAcentral lists this ribosomal RNA (781 nucleotides) under uncultured Neocallimastigales. RNAcentral's name for it is "partial large subunit ribosomal RNA". It matches the Rfam family "Eukaryotic large subunit ribosomal RNA", at positions 23 to 633 of the family's 3401-position model. Lineage: Eukaryota; Fungi; Neocallimastigomycota; Neocallimastigomycetes; Neocallimastigales. The record is from RNAcentral.
AGAGAGAGACAUGCGCGCAUAUCAAUAAGCGGAGGAAAAGAAACUAACAAGGAUUCCCCUCAGUAACGGCGAGUGAAGCGGGAAGAGCUCAAAUUUGAAAUCUUCAAGGUUCUACCUUGACGAAUUGUAGUUUAAAGAAGUGUUUUCGGUUAGAGGAGUUUGGUAAAAGUUCUUUGGAAUAGGACAUCAUAGAGGGUGAGAAUCCCGUAUUUGACCUAUUAUGUUCUAGCUGUGUGAUACACUUUCAAAGAGUCGGAUUGUUUGGGAAUGCAGUCCAAAAUGGGUGGUAAAUUUCAUCUAAAGCUAAAUAUUGGCGAGAGACCGAUAGCGAACAAGUACCGUGAGGGAAAGAUGAAAAGAACUUUGAAAAGAGAGUUAAACAGUACGUGAAAUUGUCAAAAGGGAAGCGUUUGACACCAGUGUUGUUUUCUCGAAAAUCAAUUAAAAAAGGCCUGGAUUUUGUGUUGUAUUGACCUUUAUAAGCUUUCUGCACUCUUUUCUUGUCUUUUUUAAUGCACUUUUCGUUUAACAAGUCAACAUCAGUUUCUUUUGUUGUAAAAGGGUCAUUGGAAGGUGGCUUUCUUUUCGGAGAAAGUGUUUAUAGCCUUUGAUCUCUGCAACCGGAGAGACUGAGGUCUGCAGCGUAGACUCUUCGGGGUUAGAUACAUUUGUGCUAAGCUAUAGCUUUUUAUAGACAACUUGUUGACUAUAUUUAGUCUUGUGGCUUACUCGCUUAUGCUAUUUUACCUACGCUUAGGAUGUUGACAGCAGUAUAGACUGU